This 779-nucleotide ribosomal RNA is filed under the name Salmonella enterica. Its description in RNAcentral is "partial 23S ribosomal RNA". It matches the Rfam family "Bacterial large subunit ribosomal RNA", at positions 2164 to 2925 of the family's 2925-position model. Lineage: Bacteria; Pseudomonadati; Pseudomonadota; Gammaproteobacteria; Enterobacterales; Enterobacteriaceae. RNAcentral also lists the same sequence under 2 other names. The record is from RNAcentral.
GUGGACGCCAGUCUGCAUGGAGCCGACCUUGAAAUACCACCCUUUAAUGUUUGAUGUUCUAACGUGGACCCGUGAUCCGGGUUGCGGACAGUGUCUGGUGGGUAGUUUGACUGGGGCGGUCUCCUCCUAAAGAGUAACGGAGGAGCACGAAGGUUGGCUAAUCCUGGUCGGACAUCAGGAGGUUAGUGCAAUGGCAUAAGCCAGCUUGACUGCGAGCGUGACGGCGCGAGCAGGUGCGAAAGCAGGUCAUAGUGAUCCGGUGGUUCUGAAUGGAAGGGCCAUCGCUCAACGGAUAAAAGGUACUCCGGGGAUAACAGGCUGAUACCGCCCAAGAGUUCAUAUCGACGGCGGUGUUUGGCACCUCGAUGUCGGCUCAUCACAUCCUGGGGCUGAAGUAGGUCCCAAGGGUAUGGCUGUUCGCCAUUUAAAGUGGUACGCGAGCUGGGUUUAGAACGUCGUGAGACAGUUCGGUCCCUAUCUGCCGUGGGCGCUGGAGAACUGAGGGGGGCUGCUCCUAGUACGAGAGGACCGGAGUGGACGCAUCACUGGUGUUCGGGUUGUCAUGCCAAUGGCACUGCCCGGUAGCUAAAUGCGGAAGAGAUAAGUGCUGAAAGCAUCUAAGCACGAAACUUGCCCCGAGAUGAGUUCUCCCUGAGACUUAAAGUCUCCUGAAGGAACGUUGAAGACGACGACGUUGAUAGGCCGGGUGUGUAAGCGCAGCGAUGCGUUGAGCUAACCGGUACUAAUGAACCGUGAGGCUUAACCUUACAACGCCGAAG